RNAcentral lists this ribosomal RNA (253 nucleotides) under uncultured bacterium. Its description in RNAcentral is "partial 16S ribosomal RNA". It matches the Rfam family "Bacterial small subunit ribosomal RNA", at positions 524 to 776 of the family's 1533-position model. The record is from RNAcentral.
UACGGAGGGUGCGAGCGUUGUCCGGAAUCACUGGGCGUAAAGGGCGCGUAGGCGGUCCGGUAAGCGUGUGGUGAAAGCCCGGGGCUCAACCCCGGGUCGGCCGUGCGAACUGCGGGACUGGAGCACUGUAGAGGCAGGCGGAAUUCCGGGUGUAGCGGUGGAAUGCGUAGAGAUCCGGAAGAACACCGGUGGCGAAGGCGGCCUGCUGGGCAGUGGCUGACGCUGAGGCGCGACAGCGUGGGGAGCAAACAGG